This 229-nucleotide ribosomal RNA is filed under the name uncultured bacterium. Its description in RNAcentral is "partial 16S ribosomal RNA". It matches the Rfam family "Bacterial small subunit ribosomal RNA", at positions 118 to 347 of the family's 1533-position model. The record is from RNAcentral.
UGGGCAACCUGCCCCAGACUCAGGGAUAACCCCGGGAAACCGGGGCUAAUACCCGAUACUCCGAUCGAACCACAUGGCUCGAUCGGGAAAGCUCCGACGGUCUGGGAUGGGCCCGCGGCCUAUCAGCUUGUUGGUGAGGUAAUGGCUCACCAAGGCUUCGACGGGUAGCCGGCCUGAGAGGGCGACCGGCCACACUGGAACUGAGAUACGGCCCAGACUCCUACGGGAG